This 491-nucleotide long non-coding RNA is filed under the name Lynx pardinus (Iberian lynx). The record is from RNAcentral. Lineage: Eukaryota; Metazoa; Chordata; Mammalia; Carnivora; Felidae.
ACCUUUAUUCUUAAAACAGAAGAAGCUUCCCUGUAAAAGCAGUAUCUUUAUAACAUUUUUAACUUUAGUAUUCCUCUCCCUUUCACCCUUUCCUUCCAUCAGAAUCCACAGCAACCUCCUCAUAAUCCUUCUCAGGCAGCCAUGUCCUCAGAAGCCUCAGAAGACUCUCCUUCCUCCAUUCCCUCACCCACAUACUGGUGAACAAAAAGGCAUGCUUGGUAUAUAUCAGGUCAAACUUGUGGUCCAAGGGAUCCCAGUCCUCAGCAAUGACUGUGGUGUUGGUCAGCAUGCACACAGCUCUCUGUACUUUGGCCGGGUCUCCACCAGGUACCACGGUGGGAGGCUGGUAAUUAAUGUCAACUUUGAAUCCAGUGGGCACAAGUCCACAAACUGGAUGGUGCGCUUGGUCUUGAUGGUGGCAUUGACAAUAGUGACAUCUUUGGGAACCACAUCAUCACAGUACAACAGGCAGCAAGCCAUGUAUUUACCAU